RNAcentral lists this ribosomal RNA (253 nucleotides) under uncultured bacterium. Its description in RNAcentral is "partial 16S ribosomal RNA". It matches the Rfam family "Bacterial small subunit ribosomal RNA", at positions 524 to 776 of the family's 1533-position model. The record is from RNAcentral.
UACAGAGGUCCCAAGCGUUGUUCGGAUUCACUGGGCGUAAAGGGUGCGUAGGCGGUCGGGUAAGUCUGAUGUGAAAUCUCACAGCUUAACUGUGAAACUGCAUUGGAUACUAUCCGGCUCGAGGAAUGGAGGGGAGACUGGAAUACUUGGUGUAGCAGUGAAAUGCGUAGAUAUCAAGUGGAACACCGGUGGCGAAGGCGGGUCUCUGGGCCGAUAUUGACGCUGAGGAGCGAAAGCGUGGGGAGCGAACAGG